CAGCAGCCGCGGUAAUACGAAGGGUGCAAGCGUUACUCGGAAUUACUGGGCGUAAAGCGUGCGUAGGUGGUGGUUUAAGUCCGUUGUGAAAGCCCUGGGCUCAACCUGGGAAUUGCAGUGGAUACUGGGUCACUAGAGUGUGGUAGAGGAUAGUGGAAUUUCCGGUGUAGCAGUGAAAUGCGUAGAGAUCGGAAGGAACAUCUGUGGCGAAGGCGACUAUCUGGGCCAACACUGACACUGAGGCACGAAAGCGUGGGGAGCAAACAGGAUUAGAUACCCCGGUAGUCCCUGUCUCUUAUAC
RNAcentral lists this ribosomal RNA (301 nucleotides) under uncultured bacterium. RNAcentral's name for it is "partial 16S ribosomal RNA". It matches the Rfam family "Bacterial small subunit ribosomal RNA", at positions 509 to 807 of the family's 1533-position model. The record is from RNAcentral.